GGGAUGCUAAUACCGCAUACGUCCUACGGGAGAAAGCAGGGGACCUUCGGGCCUUGCGCUAAUAGAUGAGCCUAAGUCGGAUUAGCUGGUUGGUGGGGUAAAGGCCUACCAAGGCGACGAUCUGUAGCGGGUCUGAGAGGAUGAUCCGCCACACUGGGACUGAGACACGGCCCAGACUCCUACGGGAGGCAGCAGUGGGGAAUAUUGGACAAUGGGGGGAACCCUGAUCCAGCCAUGCCGCGUGUGUGAAGAAGGCCUUUUGGUUGUAAAGCACUUUAAGCGAGGAGGAGGCUACCGAGAUUAAUACUCUUGGAUAGUGGACGUUACUCGCAGAAUAAGCACCGGCUAACUCUGUGCCAGCAGCCGCGGGUAAUACAGAGGGUGCAAGCGUUAAUCGGAUUUACUGGGCGUAAAGCGCGCGUAGGUGGCCAAUUAAGUCAAAUGUGAAAUCCCCGAGCUUAACUUGGGAAUUGCAUUCGAUACUGGUUGGCUAGAGUAUGGGAGGAGGAUGGUAGAAUUCCAGGUGUAGCGGGUGAAAUGCGUAGAGAUCUGGGAGGAAUACCGAUGGCGAAAGGCAGCCAUCUGGGCCUAAUACUGACAC
RNAcentral lists this ribosomal RNA (601 nucleotides) under uncultured Acinetobacter sp. Its description in RNAcentral is "bacterial SSU rRNA". It matches the Rfam family "Bacterial small subunit ribosomal RNA", at positions 157 to 746 of the family's 1533-position model. Lineage: Bacteria; Pseudomonadati; Pseudomonadota; Gammaproteobacteria; Moraxellales; Moraxellaceae. The record is from RNAcentral.